Molecule: unclassified non-coding RNA, 249 nt
Filed under: Hevea brasiliensis (rubber tree)
Lineage: Eukaryota; Viridiplantae; Streptophyta; Magnoliopsida; Malpighiales; Euphorbiaceae
Source: RNAcentral
UUUGGCCCUUACUGAUUUAUGUAUAAAUUUAUGCCAAUCAACCCAUGCAUAAGGAAAAAGCAAAAAACUGGAGCUAAGUUAUUUUAUCACCAUUGAUUUUCUAAAAUUUGUAUGGUGCUUUCAGUAAAUUGUACUUCAUUUCAACUCAAACUUUGUUUGAUAGCUUGCUCUCAGAACCUGUAGGUGGGUGGUGGGGGGAGGAGGUGUUCUAGCUUGACAAUAGGAUGUCUUGUGUGUUUCCUAACAUAG